CAAAUUGCCAUAACUUUGUCAUUUCUCAACGAAAUCAAGUGAUUCAAAAACGAAAGUUGUAGACCUUGAAGAGACAAAGAGAAUGGUACCUUGCACAACACCUAGUUCGCCGUGGUUUGGCCGGAAACUGCCUCGAAAGCCUCGGAGGUCGCCGGAAACUGGGUAUUUUUCAAAUGAGUAUAACUUCUUCAAUACUCAACGAAAUUGAGUGAAACAAAAAGGAAAGUUGUAUUACUUGACGAGACGAAGAGAUUGAUACCUACCUCGACUCCUAACUCGCCGGGGAUUAGCCGGAAAAAGCCUCGAAAGCUCCGGCCAAACUUUGAACUUGUCGAUCUCCGUGUUCUUACGUCCAAAAACUUCCAACGAAGCACUCCGAGCUUCCUUGGGACCUCACUAAGCUCACUAUGAGCUUGGAUUGUCCUAAAAAUCAACCAAUUCAAAGCUCAUGAACAGUACACUUUCAUGGGGAGUUUAGAAAUCUAGGUUUUCCGAAGUAAAAACUUACCUGAAAUGGAUACCAACGUGAUCGUGAAGUCCUCAGGAUUCCAAUGGUGGUCUCAAACUUGACGUUGGUAUAGAUUUAGGGUGGUUUUGGUGGUGGUCCGUGUGAGUUCGAAGGAGAGAGACAGAGAGAGUGAGAAAUCGUGAAGGAGGAGAGAGAAAGACAGUGAACGGGAAAUGAGGAGGGUUUUGAGGGAUGUGGGGAUCCCACGUGGUCCUUAUUCCAAUCUCCAAACACCAAACUUUAACAUUUUAACCUAAAAAUCUAAGUUCCAUCCUUAUUAAAUUCCAUUUUAUUUUCAAACUUAGGAACCUAGAUAAUUAGCAACCUGAGCUUCACAAAUUUAGUAUUUCUUAAGGGCAAUUUCGUCCAUUCACAGCCACGAAUAUAAUAAUUUGGAACGGGCUGUGACA
Molecule: long non-coding RNA, 918 nt
Filed under: Malus domestica (apple)
Lineage: Eukaryota; Viridiplantae; Streptophyta; Magnoliopsida; Rosales; Rosaceae
Description: long non-coding RNA (MDOM_LNC001904)
Source: RNAcentral